Molecule: ribosomal RNA, 438 nt
Filed under: Triticum aestivum (bread wheat)
Lineage: Eukaryota; Viridiplantae; Streptophyta; Magnoliopsida; Poales; Poaceae
Description: partial small subunit ribosomal RNA
Source: RNAcentral
AUGAUUUACUUAGGGGCACAACUGGAGCUGUUCUCGGAUGAUAAUGGAAGAUUCAUUGUUGGUGGAAACUGGAGGAUUGAGUGGUGUGCUGAUGUAUUAACAACAGAAGUUUUGGCUCUUAGAUUCGGCCUAUUCCUUGCACAAAAGGCGGGGUGCAAUUGUCUUGUCGUUAAUUCUGACAAUACGGAGGUGAUUGAAAUAAUGGAAAAUGGAGGACAUUCGGUGGGAGCGGCGGCGGCAGUGUUCGAUGAUUGCUAUUUAAUAGCUUGUGAUUUUCCGCUUGUUAGAUUUGAACAUUGUAAUAGGGAAACAAAUAAGGUGGCUCAUGAAAUUGCUAGGCUAGCGAAAUUUUCAGUUACUACUGACUGGUUUGAGGAGCCUUUGAGGGACAUUGUACAUUUACUUAUUGACGAUGUAACAAUUAUUUCUAAUAAAUAA